UAUAUUCUGUGUCAAAAAAAUAAAUAACUAAAAGUUGUUUUUUAAUGUGUGUAGGUAGGUUAUGGUCUCAUGUCCCUUUAAGACGCUGUCCUACGUCAGAGACGUGACUCCACCCCAUCCAGUCCGUAACAAAGAGGGAAAGACAGGUGAGGAGAUGGAGGACGGUUCAAAAGUUGUAGUGGCUGAAGUAGACGAAGUUAAUGUGGGAGGGGGUGAGCAGCUUGUGGAGUAGUUAUCGUCCAUUUAUCGUUAUCGACGUGAACUGAUCAAUAUACCGUGAUAUUGAUAUGAGGCCAUAUCGCCCAGCCCUAGUAGGAUGUUAGAAAUGAGAAGCGUGAGAAUUCAGAGGUUUGUCACUACUGACCUCGAUAUCAGCCAAAUAAAUACUUCAGUAAUGAGAAAUCUUUGGAAAAGUCCUCUUCUGCUCGUCUAAUUGCUUAAAAUAAAUGAUCUCAUGAACAUCUGUCUCUGUGAAACAUCUGCUGCUGUUUUUGAAAAGGGAAAAUACUAAAAACCAAUCCGGGCUAAUCACUUAAACUAAAUUUACUACGGGGAAAUUAUAAAAAGAAAGGAAAAAAGUUAUUUGAAGCCAUUUUUUAUGUGUCACACAACAAUCAGACGAGCCGUCACUGCUUAUAAAUUAUUCAUGCCAGAUGAGGAGCUUCAAAACGUCUUAUAACUUUCAGUGACAUCUGAAGUGUUAAUGUUCCGUCACACCUGGAUUGUUUUUCAAGAAGUUAUCUAAAACAGGAGGCGUUUCGCUCUCAGCUCGGGUUGUUUGGACAUACAUGAACGCAGCAGCAGCGUUCUGAUGCUGAACGAAAACCAGCGAAGGGGAAGUGAAGGGGAAGAAGUGGUCUCAAGUUGCUUCCAAUCAGAUCUUGGAGUGGUCUGCAUGCUAUCAAUCCAGUUCCUGCAACAAACAGGCCUGAAUUACCACUCCAGAGUCGAAGCAGGGGUGGACGACAACAGCAUGAUAUUGGUAUCUGCAGUUCCUAACUAAUAAGAAGUCCUCAUUGGUAGGAAAAUUUCUUCAGAUACAAUUAUUGGCCAAAAGGUAACACAUUAAUUAUGUGACACCCUUAAUGACGCCUGAGUUUGAUUAUUUAUCUAAUAAAUAAAAACUGGACCCUACAUUAAGUGGUCCUUUCCCACCGGUCCUGCAUGAGCGUUCAGCUCGCUUUUCAUACACCUGGCCUACAGAAUUAAGGAUGCAUGCACAAGAAUAACUAGAACAAUAAGUGUAAUAUAAAAACAAAGUUCUUGAGGCAGGCAGGGGAUGCUGGCCAAGACCAUGCCCCAAAAAGUCUGACUUCUUGCACAAUUUCAUUUCCCGUACAUUUAUCCAUGAGUCAAAAGAUAGUUGUUUGUUGAUACAGUUGUGUGUCUCACAACCACUGUGGUAUUAUUGCAGAAAAGCUGGAAGACCUGUUUAUAUUUGUCGCCACUUUAUUUACAUUGUCUGCCUCGUAAUUUAUUUUAAUUUAAUUUUGAUUAAUUUAUGUUUUCUUGUCUUCACAUUGUCAUGUUGAAAUAAAAGUACAUGAUUAAUGUUACUGGUUUGGGUUUAAUUCUUAAUGUACACAUAAUUUUUAAUAAUGUACCACAUUGGUAACCUUGUUAAAUUUACAGCAUUAUUUUAACAGGUAUCCAUGACUGAAUCGAUGUUGAAUCUGGACCUUAUAAUAUUGAAAUGAAUCGAUCUGGAAAAUCUGAAUCGAUACCCAGCCCUUGUGCUGUCUGUCAUAACGUACUCUUUCAUACCACCUACCAUGCCCACUGUCUUAUAUGCUAAAUAAGGGCAUCAAAAGCCUCUAAAAUCCAUUUCUAGAAAAUAAAAAAGGAGGGUUCAGUCGUGGAUUAUCUUUGACUUUUAACAUGAACUUCAGAAAAACUAGCUUACAUAAAUAUGCGCCAAAGUUAGGAUGAGCUGUCCUGUGAAAAAGUUUGGUCAACUAAAGUUCCUGAAAAAUACAAUCAUUGAAAAUCUGGGACUGUUUGUGUGAACAAUAACAAAAAUUACAGCAGCACUUCAACUUUUCUAAACAUGAGCUGCAGCUAAAGAUGUAACCGAGUGAAGGAUCAGCCCUCGAUCAGCUCUGGACUUGUGGAGUCAGACAGGCACUAGGACCUGCAGCUCUCUGCAGCCUGCACCGUCUGCAGCCUCUGGGACGCUUCUCACUUACUUUCUGAACAGUUUUCAAACAAGUGCAAGACUCUGAAAGGACUGUUUGGGAUAAUUUACAAAGAAUUUGUUUUCCUCUCCCUGGCAUCUUGUGGAUUUGGACGCAAAGUGGAAUAUUUAUCACUGAUCCUCGGGAGCCUUACGUCAGUGAAGAAGAAAAAAAAAAAGAAAGAGGGCUUGUGCAGAAGGUAGAGGACUGUUUUAACUUCACGAACACUGCAUGACUCUAACAAAACACACAGAGGAACUUUCUUUAAAUUACAUCAGCUGAUUGUCAGGUAGGACAAGUGUGUCAGAGGAAAUUUAUAAGUUGUUGCACGCACCAACUUUCAAAUUCAGCACACUGACAUUUUUAACACUCUCUGUUUCUUUACUUUCUUAAAGUUACCUGCUGCUUUUAUUACAACUUGUGUGGUUCUAUCACAGAUAAUUAGGGGUUUGGGUUUUAAGAUGAGCCACAGCAGUGAAGUGAUCAUCUCCACCUCCAUCCCCUCAGAAACUGUUGAAGCUUGGCCUCAGGGCUCAUCAGGUUACAAUAGCACCCAUCAGAACUGCACUCGUCUCCCUGGGCUAGCUUAUAUUCUCAAAGCAUUCCUGCAGAGGUUUUUCUUUUUUGUCUGUGUGUAUUUGUAUGGCAUGUUGAGUUGGCAACAAGAGGCUUGCUGCGGGGUAGUUCUCUCAAAUUAUGUGUGCCACAGAGUUAAAACAAAUUAUUGCGUUCUUGACAUAAUAGCAGGUGAUUAUAGUCGAGGAGACUGGCUGUGCUCUUUUGAUAAAAAGGUACUUUAUAUCUGUCAUUUCAGAGCGAGAACAUAAACAGAUAAACAGAACUCAAACAUCUAUCUGAUUCUUCUUUUUCAUUUAGGAGAACACAGUCCUGUUUGCAAAUUAUACUACAAUAGAAACAUUAUUAUAUAUAAGUAUUUAGGGGGGUAGGUCUGAGCCAAGUCGAUGUUGAAACAUAGCUCUCAUUGAUAAACUAAACCAUAUGGCUGUUAUCACCUGACAUGAAAAAUACUGCACUAUCAAUAGAAAGGCUUCUCUGCACUCGGACAAAAGAGGCCGGUUUACGAUGACAAAGGCGGUGAUGAAAACAGUGGGGGGUGGGCUAAAGGUAGGAUGUUGGUCUGCAGGGAUGCUUAAAUAAAGGCACUCCUGUAAAAAGGAGGGAGAAUAGAUUUAAAAUGGUGGUGUUAUAAUAUUUAAUAGUUAGAUGGUAGUAGUAUAAUAUUUAUCCAGUGUUCAGCUUUAAUUCGAGGACAGCUUUCUCUCUUCAGUGAGACGCAGACUGAGUCAUCUCUGAAGCAUUGUCGAACCAAUUGAUGCUGCCUUCAGAGGGAACUUGAGCGCACAGUUUGGCAGUUGUGGUUUAUAAGCUUCGACUCCUGGCAGCUAAAAAAAGUGAACCCUACAUGACUCCUCUCUGUAUAUUUUCUAAUUUUUAAUGGUUUUCUUUUGUUUGCGUUCAGUUGAAGGGAGAAUGUAACCCGACAAAGCCGCACUAAAUCAGCUGCUUUCUGAAAACUUUUCUGCAGACUCGUAAAUUGCUCAACUGUGUGUCAUCAGGACAGCCAGUAAACAUGACAAAUCUAAUGAAAUAAGAGGACAGCCUAAAAAGCCCAGAUUUUGUGAGGGUCUCGAUCAGAAACAUGAUAUCCAGAACACUAUGUCAAGUAUGCUGAGCAUGUGAAUUUUGGAAAUCUGAUUUUUUUUUCCAUCAGCUGUACGCUCGACUACAUGUUUGAUUUAUGCACCAGGGCUUCCCCCUGAGCCACACGUGUCUGCGCGCAUGAUUCUGUGUGUUUUGAGUGCAAUGUGUUGAAUAUUGGAAGAUAUAGAAAUUAAAGGGAUAGUCAGGGUUUUUUGAAGUGGGGUUGUAUGAGGUACUUGUCAACAGAAAUUGCAUAAACCACAGGGGAUUAUGGUCUGCUCCCUCUUUUUGGCCCCUUUGUUGAGAAACAGGGUGAGGGACAAAAACAGAAACGAGGCGUUCGCUGAAGAUGCAGUUAGCUCUAUCAUAUAAAUGAGCUGGGUUCAACAAACUCCAACUUUCAACAAAGUGUGGUUCUCUGUUUAAGUGAAUUAUCUGUCUGGAAAAUAUCAGCCCUUUAAUUAGCUGUCAGAAAACCGCUUGUUUUUACACUACAGAUUUGGUUUUUCUAUUUUCCUGAUUUCACUUCUGAAUAAUGAAGAAAGUGAAAAAGAUGCAAACUGGAGCAAUGUGAGCAAUGCAGACUGCAGCUGUAUGUGAGCCACUGGUAUCCUUCAAUCCAGACGAGUCCUGAACUAAUUUGCCUUCACAGUCAGCUUUGGAUGGUCCCAUUUCCAACAACCAAUAGUUUUUCAGGUGGAAGAACUUAUAUAUGCUUGAAUGGCUCAAAAUAAAUAUGCUUUUCUGGCAGCAACAUGUCUAAAUAGAGCCUCAUACAACCCCACUUUAAAAAGACUGAAAAAUAAUUUUGAGUUUAGCACAUCUGAAGCUCCUGGGCUGAGUUGCUGGUUAAGGUCAGAAGGUGUUUCUCUGUGGUUUGUCCUCAGUUGACAUUUCUCCCUGAAACUUCAUUUGUUUAAAAACUUAACCAUUCACUCUGUCCAGUGUCUCAAAAUGUGACCUGUGGUUUUAUUACCAGUCAUUGAAACAUCUUAAAAACACAGUAUACUGCCUGGGGGUGGCACAUUACAUCCAGUGUUUCGAUCUAAGUUGUAUACAUUUUCUUUCAUUUGCAUUGCCCUCUUCUCUUGACCUUAAACUUGCAUCCUAAAAGUCUUUUAAAGCUAUAAUACCUGCCUGAACCCCAUAAACAGUUAACUCAGAAAUGAAUCAUCACUGCCUCAGAAAAACGUAACUGAAACAGGAGAAUAUUUAGGGCAUGGUACAAACAGAGAAAUCUGAAAAUCUUAAGUUCUUCCACAAGUAAAGACUGUCUGCUAACUGCUGAUCAACCCUUUCGUCUUACGUCAUUAUUUGAAACCUUCUUUAUUGUUUUCCAGCUAUAAAUGAAAAACACACAUAAUCAAUUCAUGCAGCAAACCAUACGUGACUAAACAAUAGUUAUCAGCUGGGCCAAAUAUUGUAGCCAUCUUUUCAAAUGUGCAACGAGUUAUACAGUUGGCAUCUGCAUAAAUUUGACUUCUUUGUUUGUUUCAUGUUUCAAAUAUCCUUACGAUCUGAACGUAGAGAGUCUUCCAGUGGAAAUUUGUGCCUGACUGCCAGCUCCCGGCUAACCCAAACCUGACACUCCUUCAUGGCUCCAAUCGAACAUUUUUCUCAUUUUUGUGAAUGGAUGUUUUGAUUUGAUGUGAGACCUUUUCUUCUUGUGCUUAGGUUUAAGAGUUUUCUUCUGUCCAUCAUUUUCAGUCCCUUUUGGUUUUUGCAGAGAGAAAAAUGCACAUCAGAUGGGCUUUUCCUACACCCUAACAUUCCUCAUCGCUGAACAAUCUGUUCCACAGGUGGCAGAAGAAAAAUCUGGCAGACCCAGAUUAUCAUACAGGUUGCAGAUGCUCUAUGGUCCAUCUAAGUAGAAGCAGAGUGGGAAGGCUUCUGCAUGCCUACAUCCAUCAUUGACACCUCUCUCUCUCUCUUUCUCAACUAGCAGGUGAUGAAAGGUGUCCACUGUCUCCAGACUGUCUCCAGACUUCAUGUGAUAGACACUAAACGACUGCUAUUCUUCCCAUUUUACAGACACCUGAUUGUUUAUCUCCAUCUCUGCUGAAGAUGUAAUAUUAUCUGAACCUACCAUGUACGAUUUAAAAGUGAACGACUAACAAAAAGGCGUUAUGGUUUUGGAGUUAGAGCUACUUUUAAUGAUAAUUUUUUUUUUUACAGCAGUUUUUUUACAUAUUAACAGUACAGUGGUUUGUGUUUCAUUAUCCACAACUUGCACCUGUAAUACGCACCAUUUAAACACUUUUCUCUCACUCCUAUCCAGCUGGUUAUACUCAGCACUUCCAACAGUAGUCUGAUUCUUAACACUUAAUAAAAAGUUCUGGAACAGGAUAUUUGGACGACUCAGAACAGGCUCAUGGAUGACAGAAAGUUUCUUUCUGGCAGGAUUCGGAUAUAUUUCAUAAGGCUGAAACGAUUCCUCAUAUUCCUCGAUUACAAAUAAUGAUCGAGGAAUUUUCUCUGCCUCUAGUACUCAUUUAUACGAGCAUUGCAAUCCGCUAACGCACACGCUUGUUCCACGAUUGUUCUCUAUUUCUCUGAGUCUGGACUUCAUUGCAGGGCUAUAGGGAAAUCUAACUUUAUGUGAGUCUGCCGUUUGGGUCCAAUCACUCGAGUAAUCGGUAGAAUAUUCAGUAGAAUACUCGAUUACUAAAAUAAUCGAUAGCUGCAGCUCUAAUAUUUGAGUUGAAAUUUGGCAGUUAAUCUCAGGAAAUUGGUGAUUAUUAAGAUUAUUGCUGGAGUUGAAUAUGAUUUGAUGUCAUUCCAUACCAUGUGUCUAUGUUAAGCUUUGUUACUUCAGCCGCUCCAACUUUCUCUCCGUCCUCCAUCUCCUCACCUGUCUUUCCCUCUUUGUUACUGACUGGAUGGGGUGGAGUCACGUCUCUGACGUAGGACAGCGUCUUAAAGGGACAUGAGACCAUAGUCUACCUACACACAUCCAAAACUAACUUUAAUUUAUAGAUUUAUUUGACACCAAAUAUACCCAUAUGGGCAAAAUGACGUUGGUUAUUGUCGUAAAUUUCGGUAUUGGUAAAUUUUCGGUUUAUGGCCCAGCCCUAAUAAGACUAUUACAGUAAAAUUAACCCCUAUGGGUAAUAUGCUGUGUGAUAUAGAGAAGUUUGAGUUUGAGUUUGAGAGAAUAACAUCAGUUUAUUAUGCAAAUCUGAAUCAGAAUACUUCAUUGAUCCCCAAGGAACGAAUUCUGGGAUUGUGAUCAAAUGAUUGUGCUUUAAAUCUUGCGAGAAAGUGAAAUUCAUGCAUUCAUUUGUUCAUUAGAUGACUUGGUACACACUUAGUACGCCAGCCUGAUACGCUAGCUGUUCUUCAACAAUACUGCACUUAGUAGAAUUAUGUUGUUGUUAACAUUUGCAAAGUAUUGUUCAUUUUUUAAUCGAGAAAAUGCCUGAGUCUGUGAAAUUUUCUCCAUGUCACUAUUUUUAUUUUGCGUCAGUUGUAGUCAGCAUUACUUGGCAAAUUGCACCAUAGAGAGGUUGUUUGUCUUAAAUUGACAAUAUUCCCUUUUUAUAACUGCUAUAUUUAAACAAAGUGACACUGGUAUGGUUGUGGUUCUUGUCAAUAACUUUCCAGACGUGUGUGGAGAGAAAAUCCUCCCAAAAGCAUGUAUGAAGAAACUGAAAAGUGGGAUUCAGCUGACGUGUCUGAACGGCCAAAGGGAGCAAAUUUAGAAUAUGUACUCAGCCUGCCAUGACAGGGAUGUAAUAAAGCUGCACUUCUGUCAUGAUAUAAAAUGUCUUAAUGACAGCAAUUCCUGGAAAAACACACAAGCUGAUAUGUUAAAGGCACACCCCUUUUUCCUGACACAUUUAUAGUUAGCAAAUGAGGAGCGCGGUGGAACAAGUAGUUGCAUGAAGAAUGACAGAUUAGGUUUGAAGACUUUCCUGUGAUCUGCCAAAUUUCAAAUAGAGGCACAUCUGAUGUUAGAUUUGUCUAAACUUGGAAAAUGGGCCAAUCCCAGCAGAAAGAAACAGAUGAAUGUACUCGUCUCUGAACUAUCUAAAGUAAAUUUGUUUAAAAUUUAGAAAAAGUUUAGAAAAAAAACUGGAUAUUUUACUUCUUCUCCUGCUGUCCCAAUAAAAGUCAGGGUGGUAAUUACCCAAACUGAAGGAAGCUUAUUAUGGUAAUCCUCACCUCACAAGCAUCAGGACAGAUUCGACACUCUUCAUAUAUAAUUGCAUCAGCAUCUAUCCUUCCAUGCAGACAUGUCCCAUCACCUCUUUCAGCCUCAGGCACAGUUCAAGGAACAUGGUACCCACUUACAAAACAUGGACAGAAAAACAUGACAUUAAGGGCACACGUCUGUUAGCAUGAAAAGCUUUUGCUGUACAACUGUAGACGGUGAAAUCUCUGCAAGUACCUUCCCCUGUUCACCCUGGACACUAAUAUAGGCCACAGGUACAAGUCUGAAAGCUUUCACUGAAGUCAGCAGAUUAAAACGGCGCAUAAAACGUGUAAAGAGCAAAGAUACAACAAGCCUGUGCCUGCGAAUGAGUCGUAUUUCCUCUCUCCUCCACUGAAGAGCAAGCAGGAGUACCUCAUCAUCUCCAGAGUGUGAGUUUCAAUAAGGCCACACACAAAGUGUGUGAACUGUGACUCACACUCCUCAUCCAGCACGCCAACUACAACCUGACCCUUUAAACCCGUCCAUUCCUGUGUAACUUCUGCUCUGGAACACACAGCCAACUCUCCAUGAACCCAAUUAUGAGCAAGAAAAAUAAUUUUUAGGAAGGGAUGGGCGAUAAAACGAUCAUGAUAUCUAUCAAAAAUUAAUUUCCCUUGAUAUCAAUAUAAAACAUGGUCAAUAUGCUUUUCAAUAGUCAGCAUUCUGCCAUGUUUUGGUCGACCAUGCAAGCCAAUAAAAGGGGCGUUGCUCCAAGUCUGCGCAACAGGGAACAUUUAAGAUUGACAAGUGAUUUUUUAUAUCGUGAUAUAUCUCAAUAUUGACUGAUAUAAAAAAAUAUAUUGUGAUAAACUUUUUCCUACAUUGCCCAGCCCUACGUUUAGAAUGCAUGUCCCUGAUGUAAUGUCAAUGAUGUAUUCAGCAUCUUUACAUUUCAACAAACUAUUUCAACAGACAUGUGCAUCCAACAUCUAAUUGUGCACUCUAAAAUAACGUUACAUUCUAGCUUGUAAUAUCCCUGAGUCAUCACAAGUUCAGAGUAUGGGCUAAUUGUUUAACAGAAACUUCUUUUGGAUUAGAGGCUGUAAACACAAAUAAGGCAAAAGCCCAGACGACCACUAAAAGUGUCAGGAUACAAACAGCCAAAUUAUCUUGGAGCAGAGCUGAACCACGUAUGCAUUUUUAAGUACACAACGGCACUUCUAUGUCGCUUCAUAUGACAGCGGGGGCUGAUUUUAUUUGGAGAAGGUGCAACCAUAAUGAGGCAAAUUUCAGCAACAGAAACAAUAGCUGCAGCAGACAAGAGCCGCAGAAGAUGUCCUGGGUUACAUGAGAUGCUGCUUGAAUGGUCAUAAUAGUUGAGAUAUAAUCAUAAGCUUAAGUGAGCGAAAAACCUUUAAAAUAAUCAGUUUGGACAGAGUUCACCACAAAGUGUCAAAGCAAGGAUCAAAACAGAAGCCAAAAGAGGACACAGUUUGAUUUUCCACAAACUGUCAAAACACAGUGAAAGCUGACACUGACUUCAGACUGUCACAGACAGACGCCACGACACAUCAGAAUAGACUGAGUUCGAGAAGGCGCCAACGUUUGACACUUUAAGAGCAUGUCUUAAGUAGAAUUUCCACCUUAAGGUUGUAUACCUCCACCAGCCAUUAAGGUUGCAGUUUAUGUCUACCCAUUCGUCUCUCUUUGUCUCUGCAGAGUAGGGCUGGGCGAUGAACCGAAAAUUUACAGAUAUCAAAAUUUGCGAUAAUAACCAAUGUCAUUUUGCCCGUAUCGGUAUAUUUGGUGUUAAAUUAAGAAAAGUUGUUUUUUGUGUGUAGGUAGGUUAUGGUGUCAUGUCCCUUUAAGACGCUGUCCUACGUCAGAGACGUGACUCCACCCCAUCCAGUCCGUAACAAAGAGGGAAAGACAGGUGAGGGGAUGGAGGACGGAGAGAAAGUUGGCGCGGCUGAAGUAGACAAAGUUAAUGUGGGAGGGGGUGAGCAGCUUGUGGAGUAGUUAUCGCCCAUUUAUCGUUAUCGAGGUGAACUGAUCAAUAUAUCGUGAUAUUGAUUUGAGGCCAUAUCGCCCAGCCCUACUG
Molecule: long non-coding RNA, 10072 nt
Filed under: Xyrichtys novacula (pearly razorfish)
Lineage: Eukaryota; Metazoa; Chordata; Actinopteri; Labriformes; Labridae
Source: RNAcentral